Molecule: long non-coding RNA, 328 nt
Organism: Armigeres subalbatus
Lineage: Eukaryota; Metazoa; Arthropoda; Insecta; Diptera; Culicidae
Exons: 3
Source: RefSeq, a predicted model, not a curated record
UAAAAUAUUUAUUAGGAAAUGUAUUUUCAAGAAAAUAGAAUCGGAAAUUAAAAGGAAUCUCGGAAGAAUUGAGGCCUCGCCGGAUUGAUUGAGCUCCGACUCGAUCUUUCCCGUGCAGACUGCCGAACAGUAAAGACGAGAAAAACUCCAAAGUGAAUUUUAAAAGUGAUUUAAACCUAAUUAAAAGUAAAUCUAUUUUCACAGUUUUCUAAAGUGGUUAAAAUUGCCCUAAAAGUCGUGAGUCGUGUUUCCAAGGAAUUCCUUAAACAGGAAGUGAGUCGUGAGUCGGAAUAAACGCUUUAUUACCAAAGAAUUGUAUAAAAAAAAA